RNAcentral lists this ribosomal RNA (253 nucleotides) under uncultured bacterium. RNAcentral describes it as "partial 16S ribosomal RNA". It matches the Rfam family "Bacterial small subunit ribosomal RNA", at positions 524 to 776 of the family's 1533-position model. The record is from RNAcentral.
UACAUGGGGUGCAAACGUUGCUCGGAAUUAUUGGGCGUAAAGCGCACGUAGGCGGUUCGUUAAGUCGGAUGUGAAAGCCCUCGGCUCAACUGAGGAAGUGCACCCGAAACUGGCGAGCUUGAGUCCGGGAGAGGUGAGUGGAACUGCGAGUGUAGAGGUGAAAUUCGUAGAUAUUCGCAAGAACACCAGUGGCGAAGGCGGCUCACUGGCCCGGUACUGACGCUGAGGUGCGAAAGCGUGGGGAGCAAACAGG